GACGAACGCUGGCGGCGUGCUUAACACAUGCAAGUCGAACGGAAAGGCCCUGCUUUUGUGGGGUGCUCGAGUGGCGAACGGGUGAGUAACAUGAGAGUAACCUGCCCUUGCCUUUGGGAUAACUUCAGGAAACUGGGGCUAAUACCGGAUAGGAGCUCCUGCUGCAUGGUGGGGGUUGGAAAGUUUCGGCGGUUGGGGCUGGACUCGCGGCUUAUCAGCUUGUUGGUGGGGUAGUGGCUUACCAAGGCUUUGACGGGUAGCCGGCCUGAGAGGGUGACCGGCCACAUUGGGACUGAGAUACGGCCCAGACUCGUACGGGAGGCAGCAGUGGGGAAUAUUGCACAGUGGGCGGGAGCCUGAUGCAGCAACGCCGCGUGCGGGAUGACGGCCUUCGGGUUGUAAACCGCUUUCGCCUGUGACGAAGCGUGAGUGACGGUAAUGGGUAAAGAAGCACCGGCUAACUACGUG
Molecule: ribosomal RNA, 468 nt
Filed under: uncultured bacterium
Lineage: Bacteria
Description: partial 16S ribosomal RNA
Rfam family: Bacterial small subunit ribosomal RNA
Source: RNAcentral